CCUACGGGAGGCAGCAGUGGGGAAUAUUGGACAAUGGGCGAAAGCCUGAUCCAGCAAUGCCGCGUGAGUGAUGAAGGCCUUAGGGUUGUAAAGCUCUUUUACCAGGGAUGAUAAUGACAGUACCUGGAGAAUAAGCUCCGGCUAACUCCGUGCCAGCAGCCGCGGUAAUACGGAGGGAGCUAGCGUUGUUCGGAAUUACUGGGCGUAAAGCGUACGUAGGCGGUUAUUCAAGUCAGAGGUGAAAGCCUGGAGCUCAACUCCAGAACUGCCUUUGAAACUAGAUAGCUAGAAUCUUGGAGAGGUGAGUGGAAUUCCGAGUGUAGAGGUGAAAUUCGUAGAUAUUCGGAAGAACACCAGUGGCGAAGGCGACUCACUGGACAAGUAUUGACGCUGAGGUACGAAAGCGUGGGGAGCAAACAGGAUUAGAUACCCUGGUAGUCCACGCCGUAAACGAUGAUAACUAGCUGUUCGGGCUCUACGAGCUUGUAGUGGCGCAGCUACGACAUUAAGUUAUCCGCCGUCGGGGAGGUACGGUCGGCGAGAAUUAAAACGUUAAAAGGUAAAGUUAGUACGGCGUGAGACGUGCCGAACGGACGACCGACGAGGGGAGGUUAGG
This 616-nucleotide ribosomal RNA is filed under the name uncultured bacterium. RNAcentral's name for it is "bacterial SSU rRNA". The stretch from base 1 to 519 matches the Rfam family "Bacterial small subunit ribosomal RNA", at positions 338 to 873 of the family's 1533-position model. The record is from RNAcentral.